Molecule: unclassified non-coding RNA, 1103 nt
Filed under: Hevea brasiliensis (rubber tree)
Lineage: Eukaryota; Viridiplantae; Streptophyta; Magnoliopsida; Malpighiales; Euphorbiaceae
Source: RNAcentral
GGAAACACAAACUGCCUUAAUGGCAUUAUGGAGCAAUGUACUUGAAAUUGAUACUGUAUUAUAUUUCAGAGAGAUGCACCUUUCAUCUCAAAUUCAAGUAUUAAAAAGAUCUCAGAGAGUAAAUUACAAUCUGUGCAUACAUUAUUUUGGGACACAACCUCCUACUAGUCCUUCAAAAUCAAUCUUAGCAGAAAAGAUUGGAACACACUACACUGCAGGCUCAAGGUGCCAUCUCCAGCUUCUUGAUGUUCUGAAUAUGCUUCCCGGGAUUUAAUCCCUUUGGGCAAGCACGAGAACAAUUCAGAAUAGUAUGGCAGCGAUAAAGCUUGAAUUCGUCAUUAACUGCAUCCAGGCGCUCCUGAGUAUAUUCAUCACGGCUAUCCAUGAUCCAUCGGUUGGCAUGGAGGAGUGCAGCGGGACCAAGAUAAGACUCAGGAUUCCACCAGUAGCUAGGACAUGAUGUGCUACAGCAAGCACAUAGAAUACAUUCGUACAUCCCAUCCAACUUAGCCCUAUCGCUCUUGCUCUGUGGUAUCUCCUUCCCAGGCGUUGGUGCAGGUGUCUUCCUCUUAAGCCAAGGCUCAAUAGACUUGUACUGAUUAUAGAAAUUAGUCAUAUCCACCACCAGAUCCUUAAUGACAAACAUAUGUGGCAACGGCGUAAUCGUCGAUUCAGAAUCCGACGAGAUCUUGGUCAAACAAGCGAGUCCAUUACAUCCGUCGAUGUUCAUAGCACAUGAACCACAGAUCCCUUCUCUACAGGAUCUCCUGAAGGUAAGUGUAGGGUCAAUUUCAUUCUUGAUUUUGAUUAGCGCAUCUAAAACCAUAGGUCCGCAUUCCUUCAGAUCGAUUUUGUAUUCUUUGAGCUCAGGUUUCCCUGGGUUGUCUGGAGUCCAUCGGUAAAUUUGAAAUGAUUUGAGAUUAGGCUUAGAUUCUAUCUUCUGUGCUUGGGAGUCGGAAGCGUGAGCUCUGGCGACGAGUAGCCUCGCCGCCGGUGCUGAUGACUGAACCCUAGAAAUCGCUCGUCGGAUUAAACUAGUCGCCAUUGAAGAAUGAAUGAAUACCAAAAACGGAGUGAUUGGAUAGGUUGCUACUAGAGAAAGC